RNAcentral lists this non-coding RNA (26 nucleotides) under Mus musculus (house mouse). Lineage: Eukaryota; Metazoa; Chordata; Mammalia; Rodentia; Muridae. The record is from RNAcentral.
UGAGUAAAUGGUGAACAAGAAAGGAA